GAUGACAGAGGAUGAGAUGUUGGAUGGCAUCACUGACUCAGUGGACAUGAGUUUGCGUAACUUGAGUAACUCAGGUUACUCCAGAAGUUGCUGAUGGACAGAGAAGCCUGGCAUGCUGCAGUCCAUGGGGUCGCAAGGAGUCGGACCCGACUGAGUGACUGAACUGAACUGAGUGACUAACACUUUCACUUUGUCAUACCAGGUGUAAAUAAUCUCUCAGGAAUGGAAUGGCCCAAGCCUUGUGAUGCUAUUUUCCUGCUUCUGAUACAAAGGGAACAAUUCGUUUCUAUCUUGUUGGGACUUUCUUUACCAACAGAGAGCAAACAGGUGACUGGAUCAUGUAGCAAGUGGAACACAAAAGCUCAGAGCUGAGGAGGUGCCAUCAAAAGAGCUGGUCAUGUGGUUCCCCGAAGUGAGACUCAGUUGUAGAACAGGCCUGGCCACGGUGAGCAGUGA
Molecule: long non-coding RNA, 456 nt
Organism: Bubalus bubalis (water buffalo)
Lineage: Eukaryota; Metazoa; Chordata; Mammalia; Artiodactyla; Bovidae
Exons: 3
Source: RefSeq, a predicted model, not a curated record